Long non-coding RNA from Sebastes umbrosus (honeycomb rockfish), 148 nucleotides. RefSeq lists it as uncharacterized. NCBI's taxonomy places the organism in Eukaryota, Metazoa, Chordata, Actinopteri, Perciformes, Sebastidae. The record is from RefSeq and is a predicted model, not a curated record. The transcript is spliced from 3 exons.
CAGAAAACUCUGCUGCAUAUCAAAUCAAGCGCUUCCUAAACUAACAGCCAGCCAACAGGGAGGCGAUCAAGAUGUUUUGGCUUUACUUGUGGGGAGCCGUCAUGCCGCUGCGUCUAUGGGUACCCACGACAGCCGCAGCUGGUGAACA